GCGGGUUGCGCAGGUCUCCCUGGGUAACUACCACCCUUUCGUUUAUUACACUUUGUUGCUUUGGCAAGCCUGCCCUCGGGCUGCUGGCUCCGGACCGGCGAGCGCUUGCCAGAGGACCUAAACUCUGUUUGUCUAUACUGGUCCUGACUACUAUAUAAUAGCUCUAAAACCUUUCAACAACGGAUCUCUUGGUUCUAGGCAUCGAUCGAAGAAUCGCACGCCGCAAAUGUCGACUAAGUAACUGCUGAAUUGCAUGACAUUCAGUGAAUCAUCGCAAUCUUUGAACGCACAUUGCGCCCCCUGGUAUUCCGGGGGGCAUGCCUGUCCGAGCGUCAUUACAAACCUCAAGCUCAGCUUGGUGUUGGGCCCCGCGCCCCGGCGGGCCCUAAAGUCAGUGGCGGUGCCGUCCGGCUCCGAGCGUACUACUUCUUCUACGCUCUGGAGCGUCCGGUCGUGUGCUCGCCAGCAACCCCGUUUUUUUUCAGGUUGGGCUCGGAUCCGUAAGGAUUCCGGUUAAC
RNAcentral lists this ribosomal RNA (518 nucleotides) under Pseudogymnoascus pannorum. RNAcentral describes it as "eukaryotic LSU rRNA". The stretch from base 169 to 335 matches the Rfam family "5.8S ribosomal RNA". Lineage: Eukaryota; Fungi; Ascomycota; Leotiomycetes; Thelebolales; Thelebolaceae. The record is from RNAcentral.